GAUGAAGAACGUAGCGAAAUGCGAUAAGUAAUGUGAAUUGCAGAAUUCAGUGAAUCAUCGAAUCUUUGAACGCACAUUGCGCCCGUCAGUAUUCUGGCGGGCAUGCCUGUUCGAGCGUCAUUACGCCCCUCAAGUCCCCUGUGGACUUGGUGUUGGGGAUCGGCGAGGCUGGUUUUCCAGCACAGCCGUCCCUUAAAUUAAUUGGCGGUCUCGCCGUGGCCCUCCUCUGCGCAGUAGUAAAACACUCGCAACAGGAGCCCGGCGCGGUCCACUGCCGUAAAACCCCCCAACUUUUUAUUGUUGACCUCGAAUCAGGUAGGACUACCCGCUGAACUUAAGCAUAUCAAUAAGCGGAGGA
RNAcentral lists this unclassified non-coding RNA (358 nucleotides) under soil metagenome. RNAcentral describes it as "partial contains 5.8S ribosomal RNA, internal transcribed spacer 2, and large subunit ribosomal RNA". The stretch from base 1 to 120 matches the Rfam family "5.8S ribosomal RNA", at positions 35 to 154 of the family's 154-position model. The record is from RNAcentral.